GUUGUAAGCCGGGGCAAGCUUGGUGCUACCUCUUUUUUGUUUCUUUGUUGUUGACUAGUAAUGGAUAGUUUCUAAAUACUGAGAAGUUAGUCUGGAGUGCCAAACUUUGAGAGUCGUAAGCCGAGAUAUUGAAUUCUAUGUGAUGAAUUGAGAAACUGAAUAUAAUAGAUAAGCUGAAGAUCAAUAAUUGAAUAUAUAUAAAUCACAAAGAGAGUAAGUGG
This 221-nucleotide long non-coding RNA is filed under the name Physcomitrium patens. RNAcentral describes it as "long non-coding RNA (PPAT_LNC014700)". The record is from RNAcentral. Lineage: Eukaryota; Viridiplantae; Streptophyta; Bryopsida; Funariales; Funariaceae.